This 484-nucleotide ribosomal RNA is filed under the name uncultured bacterium. Its description in RNAcentral is "partial 16S ribosomal RNA". The record is from RNAcentral.
GUAGUUAGCCGGAGCUUUCUUUACGAGUACUGUCUUGUAUCUUCCUCGUAGUCAAUAGUUUACAAUCCGAAAACCUUCAUCCUAUACGCGGCGUUGCUGGGUCAGGCUUGCGCCCAUUGCCCAAUAUUCCCCACUGCUGCCUCCCGUAGGAGUCUGGACCGUGUCUCAGUUCCAGUGUGGCCGAUCAGCCUCUCAGCUCGGCUACCCAUCGUUGGCUAGGUGGGCCGUUACCCCGCCUACUACCUAAUGGGACGCGAACCCCUCCUUUAGCGGAUUUCUCCUUUGACCUCUGUGUCAUGCGGCACUGUGGUCUUAUGCGGUAUUAGCACCUGUUUCCAAGUGUUAUCCCCCUCUAAAGGGCAGGUUGUUCACGCGUUACUCACCCGUUCGCCACUAGGUACAAAACCGAAGUCUCGUACCCCGUUCGACUUGCAUGUGUUAGGCACGCCGCCAGCGUUCGUCCUGAGCCAUGAUCAAACUCUGA